GGGACCGCCACGCGCAGCGCGGGAGGGGGAGGGCGGGACCGGGGAACAGGAGGGGAGGGGGACCCGGGUGCUUCCAGCGGUCCGGGCCCGCGGACGGAGUGCGGGCCGAUCCCGCUCACUGUCCCCUUCCGCAGUCCGCGUGCAGCUCCAGGGAGCUGUCCGCCCCGGUGGUUCUGAACCAGGCGCCGCCGAAACGCUCCAGGAGCACCCAGGGAGCAAGAGAAGCCCUGCGACAGCAGCAAGGGACACUGUGGGGCUGCAGGGACACCAGGUCAUCCGCAUGCACGUGGAAGCUUCAGAAACACAGAGUUAAACUUCGCGUAGUGGAACGGCGAGUGGUGUUCUUCUGGGUUGCCUUUGCUAGUUUGCAUGUUUUCCAACUGUCCAUGACGUCUCCACAUCAAACGCCCUCCUGAAUAGUGGCUCUCAGCUGAAUAAUUGGUCGUCUAAUGCCUAAGUUGUUAAACAAAACAAACUUUGAAAGUCAGCUUUUUUUUUUUACAAGCCUUAGCUCACAGUGGCCUUUUGCUUCCUGCUGUUUUUCUUACGUAUCCGGGCUGUUCUGUUCUGUUUCUGCGUGGCCUUUGCCUUGUAUCCACCAUUGGUAUAGCGUGGUGAUAUGCUUUCUUUCUUUGAAUUUGCUUUAAUUUUUAAUAUUAUAUAUAUGGUACCUGAGAUAUUUUGAUACAAGGAUACAAUGUGUAAUAACCACAUCAAGGUAAAUGGGGUUCCAUCACCUCAAGAAUUUAUCCUUUCUUUGUGUUACAAACGUUCCAAUUAUACUCUUUUAGUUCUUUUAAAAUGUACAAUAAAUUAUUGUUGACUGUAGUA
Molecule: long non-coding RNA, 831 nt
Filed under: Homo sapiens (human)
Lineage: Eukaryota; Metazoa; Chordata; Mammalia; Primates; Hominidae
Description: novel transcript
Source: RNAcentral